UGAGAGGCAAGAGAAUCUUUUACUCCUAUCCUACUGCAAACACAAGCUAAGAAAUGCCUAGGAGGCAUUUCUCCUCCUAGGGCCUAGGAGGAGAAAAAUUAAAGACUUACACUCUUAGAAUAUCUGCCAGGCACCCACAGGACCCUCAGGACUCAUGACAAAUUAUCUCUCCCAAAAUGUAUCCUUAUCUGGUAACAUUUAAUGAUUAUGGGAAUGAAGUUUACAGAAACCAAUUUAUCAGCAUCAGAAUUCAAGCUCUCAAAUUCUCAAACCCAUAGGUGCAGCACAGGACUCAGGGUGAUGAAAGCCCUGCCGCUGGAGUUUUAAACGUCCAUCAAGAAAAAAAAAAAGAGAAGAUGAAUAAUUAUCACACAGGGUUUAAGUAUCUGCUCCCUGGAAAUGACAUAGAUCAUUUCUAUUUAUAUAUCUGAGUUGAGGUACAUUACUUAACUGCAUUUAUCAAGAUUGGGUAAGUCCCAGUCCUACCAUACACUUGAAAGAAAACAAAGAUUAUUUAUGAAUUGAUGUAGUGUUUAUAACAGUAGUCUUUAAUGUUUGCAAUUUUAAUUUUCAUUGUACUAUUUUUAGAAUAAAGACAUAACUUGUUAGAGAUAUGCAAUUUAUUCCAUUUUGAAAAAGCUUUAUUUGAAUCCUCCUUAUAUACAAUGCACAGGAGUUAUCAAAAUGGAACCCAGAGAGUUCUCAUACAAACAGUGCUGAUAAUGAAGUGGUAAGACUAUUGUAAGUAUAUAUAAUUUUGUUUAUAUAUAUAUUCUAGAAG
RNAcentral lists this long non-coding RNA (781 nucleotides) under Chinchilla lanigera (long-tailed chinchilla). Its description in RNAcentral is "lncRNA (ENSCLAG00000027096.1)". The record is from RNAcentral. Lineage: Eukaryota; Metazoa; Chordata; Mammalia; Rodentia; Chinchillidae.